UCCUGAGCCUAGUCCCUUUGUGAGAUUUGUCCCCAUUUCUUGGACACCAUAUGAGAGACUUCAGUGGCUGAAGUGGGAGGAUUGCUUGAGCCUGGGAGGUUGAGGAUGAAGUGUGCUGUGGUCAUACCACUGCACUCUAGCCUGGACAACAGAGCGAGACCCUGUCUUAAAAACAGCUACCACCAAAAACUAUCUUGGAAUUUGAAUAGGAUUACCUUAAAUUUGUAGAUUAAUUUGAGAAUUGACAUCUGUACAACAUUCUGGGAACAUGGUAUUUCACGUCAUUUAUUCAUUUCUUGUUAAUGUCUUUCAGAAGAGUUUUAGGGUUUCCAUCAUACAGAUCUUACACGUCUUUUGUUACAUAACAGAUCUUUGUAUUUUUCUUCCUAAAUACUUCAUACAUUUGUAUUGCCAUUGUAAAUGGGACUUAUUUCCAUUUUCUAAUUAGUUAUUGGUGGUACAUCUGACAAGUAUUUGACUUCUGUGUGCUGUUCUCUUGAAUUUGUUUCUAGUCACUGUACUGAAUUCUCAUAUUACUUCCAGUAAAAUCUUAGUUGAUUCCCUUAGGCUUCUUUUGCUAACAUUUAUUGUUUUAUAUGCAAAUAAUGAUAGUUUUGCCUCUUCCUUUUAAAUACUUACACUCUUUCCUUCCUUUCCUUUCUCUUUUUUUCUUUCUCAGGGCCUUGUUGUCACCCAGACUGGAGGGCAAUGGUGUAAUCUAGCUAACUGUAACCUCAAACUCCUGGGCUUAGGGGAUCCUCCUGCCUCAGCUUCCAGAGUGGCUGGGACUACAGGCAGGCAGUGAAAUUUUAAAACUUUUUUUGUAGACACAAGGUCUCGCUAUGUUGCCCAGGCUGGUUUUCCUGCCACUUUAGAGCAGGUUUUCUUUUUUUCAUACUUUUAAGAGUUUUUUAUUAGGAAUUGUCCAUUGAAUGUUAGCUAAAACAGUCAAUAAAAUGCAUUAAGUGUCAGCUGCAUGCAAGACCCUAAGUUAGAUACAGUUAGCCCUCUUCAUCAGCAGGUCCACAUCUUCAGAUUCAACUGGAUAAGGUGAAUAUUUGAAAAAAGAAACAAUAAAAAUACAAAUAGAAAGUACAGUAUAACAACUGUUACCAUUGUACAAUAGCUAUACGUUUUAUUAGUGAUGACCUAAAGUACGUGGGACCAGGCAUGUUGACUGACACUUGUAGUCCCAACACUUUGGGAGGCCAACCUGGGCAGCAUAGUGAGACCUUGUCUUUAAUAAAAAUAAAAAAAAUAGCCAGGUGUGGUGGUAGGCACCUGUAGUGCCAGCUACCCAAGAGACUGAGGUGGGAGGAUCAUUGGAGCCCAGGAGGUUGAGGCUGCAGUGAGCUGUGAUUGUGACACUGCACUCCAGCCUAAGUGACAGAGGACGAUCCUGUCUCCAAGUAAGUAAAUAAGUAAAGUAUAUGGGGGGAUGUAUGUUGGUUAUAUGCAAAUACUGCACCAUUAUAUGUAAGGGAUUGAGCAUCCACAGAUUCUGGUAUGGUGUGGGGGCGGUAUCCUAGAACCAGUCCCCUGCAAGAUAGCAAGGAUGACUGAACUGUGGAAGAAUCAAAGCUCUGUUGAACAGCAUACAAUUCCUGUCUUCAAAAAUCUUAUCUCACCAGGUAGAUGAGACUUAAAAUGAAUAAAAGGAAUGAAUACAGAUUUGGAGAUAGUGGUUGUUGUGAUGGAUAAUCUUAAUUGUGUUUUCUUCCAAAACAGAUUCAUUCCCACAAAAGGGCAUCAGAGGAGAAUAAAGAAGACUCAUCAGUGUCAGGCCCCUGAGCCCAAGUUAAGGCAUCCAGAUGGCCUGGAGCCAUGUUUUUUAAAUUUUAUUAUUAAGUAUUGUUCUUUACUU
This is a long non-coding RNA of Mandrillus leucophaeus (drill), 1864 nucleotides long. RefSeq lists it as uncharacterized. The record is from RefSeq and is a predicted model, not a curated record. Lineage: Eukaryota; Metazoa; Chordata; Mammalia; Primates; Cercopithecidae. The transcript is spliced from 2 exons.